RNAcentral lists this ribosomal RNA (433 nucleotides) under uncultured bacterium. RNAcentral's name for it is "partial 16S ribosomal RNA". It matches the Rfam family "Bacterial small subunit ribosomal RNA", at positions 29 to 507 of the family's 1533-position model. The record is from RNAcentral.
AACGAACGCUGGCGGCAUGCCUAACACAUGCAAGUCGAACGAGACCUUCGGGUCUAGUGGCGCACGGGUGCGUAACGCGUGGGAACCUGCCUUUAGGUUCGGAAUAACUCAGAGAAAUUUGAGCUAAUACCGGAUGAUGUCUUCGGACCAAAGAUUUAUCGCCUUUAGAUGGGCCCGCGUUGGAUUAGCUAGUUGGUGGGGUAAAGGCCUACCAAGGCGACGAUCCAUAGCUGGUCUGAGAGGAUGAUCAGCCACACUGGGACUGAGACACGGCCCAGACUCCUACGGGAGGCAGCAGUGGGGAAUAUUGGACAAUGGGCGAAAGCCUGAUCCAGCAAUGCCGCGUGAGUGAUGAAGGCCGUAGGGUUGUAAAGCUCUUUUACCCGAGAUGAUAAUGGCAGUAUCGGGAGAAUAAGCUCCGGCUAACUCCGUG